This 27-nucleotide non-coding RNA is filed under the name Homo sapiens (human). Lineage: Eukaryota; Metazoa; Chordata; Mammalia; Primates; Hominidae. The record is from RNAcentral.
UACAAGCUAUUGUAGCUCUCUUGGUCC